This 497-nucleotide ribosomal RNA is filed under the name uncultured bacterium. RNAcentral's name for it is "partial 16S ribosomal RNA". It matches the Rfam family "Bacterial small subunit ribosomal RNA", at positions 28 to 507 of the family's 1533-position model. The record is from RNAcentral.
GAUGAACGCUGGCGGCGUGCCUAAUACAUGCAAGUCGAGCGAACAGACGAGGAGCUUGCUCCUCUGACGUUAGCGGCGGACGGGUGAGUAACACGUGGAUAACCUACCUAUAAGACUGGGAUAACUUCGGGAAACCGGAGCUAAUACCGGAUAAUAUAUUGAACCGCAUGGUUCAAUAGUGAAAGACGGUUUUGCGGUCACUUAUAGAUGGAUCCGCGCCGCAUUAGCUAGUUGGUAAGGUAACGGCUUACCAAGGCAACGAUGCGUAGCCGACCUGAGAGGGGGAUCGGCCACACUGGAACUGAGACACGGUCCAGACUCCUACGGGAGGCAGCAGUAGGGAAUCUUCCGCAAUGGGCGAAAGCCUGACGGAGCAACGCCGCGUGAGUGAUGAAGGUCUUCGGAUCGUAAAACUCUGUUAUUAGGGAAGAACAAAUGUGUAAGUAACUAUGCACGUCUUGACGGUACCUAAUCAGAAAGCCACGGCUAACUACGUG